RNAcentral lists this ribosomal RNA (465 nucleotides) under uncultured bacterium. RNAcentral describes it as "partial 16S ribosomal RNA". It matches the Rfam family "Bacterial small subunit ribosomal RNA", at positions 338 to 795 of the family's 1533-position model. The record is from RNAcentral.
CCUACGGGUGGCAGCAGUGGGGAAUUUUGCGCAAUGCUCGUAAGAGUGACGCAGCGACGCCGCGUGAAUGACGAAGGCCUUCUGGUCGUAAAGUUCUUUUGACAGGGGAGAAAAUGCCUAUAAGUAACUGUGUAUGUAUUGACGGUACGUGUAUAAGCAGCCCCGGCUAACUCCGUGCCAGCAGCCGCGGUAAUACGGGGGGGGCGAGCUUUGUUCGGAGUGACUGGGAGUAAAGAGCACGUAGGCGGUGUUUUAAGUUAUUAGUCAAAGAGUAGAGCUCAACUUUGGUAAGGCUAGUGAUACUAUAGGACUAGAGAAUCGGUGAGGAAGGCAGAAUGUAUGGUGUAGCGGUGAAAUGCGUAGAGAUCAGAAGGAAUACCGUUAGCGAAGGCGGCAAUCUGGCUGGAAUCUGACGCUGAGGUGCGAAAGCGUGGGUAGCAAACAGGAUUAGAUACCCCAGUAGUC